CGGCGACGUCUGGUUCAGUGGCGUGCACAUGAUCUGCGCGGCGAUCCAUGUGACGGGGCUCGUGCUGCUGCUCAUGGGAAAGCGACAUCUGUAGGCGACCGAGCGACCCGGGCUGCAACAGGUGAGCGCGCGACACAGGUGGGAUUCGGACGUGAGGAGAGUGACGUGGAGGUGAAGACGCAGGCAGUCCUCGUCCCUGGAUAUGGUUCUUUCUGUCCUCAUGUGUACUUACUGGUGUUUGGUGAAGUGUUUUUUGGUCAUACCAUCACAUCCACAUGUUCCACAUCUCAUCCCACUCUCCCCCUCUCGGACGAGCGCUGCCCCGGUGCAUCACGUGACCCGUGAACCCUCUGGCUUGCACCAGCUGUGAAGUGAUGUCAUUCGGUGCCUGAUUGUUUUGGUACGAGGCGUUCAGGUCAGACGUAGUCAAACCGACCGCGGUGUCUCCGGGGACGCCGGGAAUACUGCGAUGAGGUCACUGUCCCCUGACGCUGGAGGGGAAAAUUUUUUAUCGUCGUCACACUAGGAGUGUGAAACUCGGUGACUGCGAAACCGAUUUCUAUUUAUUAUUAAAAAAUGUAAAAAUGAAAAAAAAAAAAAAUUCUAAAGUAUAAAAAUUCUAAAAUGUAUAUGUGAUGAGUCUUCAGAGGAAGAGCUCUUUACCAAAACAUCCUCUGCAUAUUGCACUGUAACCUCUCUAAUAAGCUACGAACAAGUCAGGACUUUCUUUCUUUCCUCCUUUCUUUCAUUUAACUAGUUUCUAUCUAUCUAUCUAUCUAUCUAUCUAUCUAUCUAUCUUCAAUUUAGGUCAUUUCUUUCUUUAAAAUUUUACUGUCUUCUUUUUUUCUGUUUUCUUCUCUUUCUUUCUUGUUCCUGUUAUAUUUUUUUCCCUCUUCUUUCAUUCAUCCUUUCUUCUCAUCAUCUACCUUUUUCAGUUUAGGCAAUUUCUUUAUUUAUUCUCUUUUCUUUCUCCUUUUGUUUUCUCCUUCAUAUUGUUUCUUCUUUCUUUCUUUACAACGAGUUCAUUCUUUCUUGUUCCUUUUCUGUUUGGUUUUUUUCCCCCCCUCAUUCAUAUUUUUUCCUCUUCUUUCACUCAUACUUUCUUCCUUUACUCUAUCUACCUUUUUCAGCAUAGGCCAUUUAUUUAUUUAUUCUCUUUUUUUUCUUUAUUCUCC
Molecule: long non-coding RNA, 1175 nt
Organism: Ictalurus punctatus (channel catfish)
Lineage: Eukaryota; Metazoa; Chordata; Actinopteri; Siluriformes; Ictaluridae
Source: Ensembl